Molecule: ribosomal RNA, 301 nt
Filed under: uncultured bacterium
Lineage: Bacteria
Description: partial 16S ribosomal RNA
Rfam family: Bacterial small subunit ribosomal RNA
Source: RNAcentral
CAGCAGCCGCGGGAAUACAGAGGGUGCGAGCGUUAAUCGGAUUUACUGGGCGUAAAGCGUGCGUAGGCGGCUAAUUGAGUCGGAUGUGAAAUCCCCGAGCUUAACUUGGGAAUUGCAUUCGAUACUGGUUAGCUAGAGUGUGGGAGAGGAUGGUAGAAUUCCAGGUGUAGCGGUGAAAUGCGUAGAGAUCUGGAGGAAUACCGAUGGCGAAGGCAGCCAUCUGGCCUAACACUGACGCUGAGGUACGAAAGCAUGGGGAGCAAACAGGAUUAGAGACCCCAGUAGUCCCUGUCUCUUAUAA